GGUUCCGUAGAGUAGUGGUUAGCACGUCUGCUUUGCAUGCAGAAAGUCCUGGGUUCAAACCCCAGCAGAGCCA
Molecule: non-coding RNA, 73 nt
Organism: Pteropus alecto (black flying fox)
Lineage: Eukaryota; Metazoa; Chordata; Mammalia; Chiroptera; Pteropodidae
Source: Rfam